This is a long non-coding RNA of Nerophis ophidion (straightnose pipefish), 1017 nucleotides long. RefSeq lists it as uncharacterized. NCBI's taxonomy places the organism in Eukaryota, Metazoa, Chordata, Actinopteri, Syngnathiformes, Syngnathidae. The record is from RefSeq and is a predicted model, not a curated record. The transcript has 7 exons.
UUCAAAUUGUUUAUACUUUUUCUCAAAUACAAAUAUUUCAAGCUGAUAAGCACUGUGGAGUUGGCAUGUUACUGAUAUUGUUACAUUAGUACUUUGUUUGAGAAGCUUCAUGUCUGCAUUGAGCCUAAAUUUAACAGUUUUUGAAGGGUUUAGUUCUUUGUUUUAUUUCUGUGUCACUGACUUUUUUCAUUUUUAUGUGUGGAUUUGUUAGGCGCAUCAACACAUGAUAUAGACAUCGUGCCCAAAAGAAGAGCGAGAUGUAAUCCUGAGGCUGAAGCCACCGAGUUUAUGUGAUCUGGAUGUGACAAGUCUUGUUUUAAGGCCCAGUGGAUCAAUGAUUGGAAAGACACCAACUGUUGAUGUUCUAUCUCAACAUUCUCCAGAUUCAUGUGAGCGAUAAACCGACUUCAUCCCUCCAACAGACACCAACUGUUGGGGUUCUAUCUCAACAUUCUCCAGAUUCAGAUGUGAGCGAUAAACCGACUUCAUCCCUCCAACAGAAACCAACUGUUGAGGUUCCAUCUCAACAUUCUCCAGAUUCAGAUGUGAGCCAUUAACUGACUUCAUCCCUCCAACAGAAACCAACUGUUGAGGUUCUAUCUUAACAUUCUCUAAAUUCAGAUGACAGCCAUAAACCGACUUCAUCCCUCCAACAGAUUGACAGCAGGACAAAUCGCUGGAAGUGGGUAUGUCUCAAGCUUCUUCCACUUGGUCCACUCCAAAGCGGGCUGCAAAGGGGAAGAAGUGGAAGCAGUUGAAUGACACAUGUUGCAUUUUGUAACUGGCAACAAAGUACCAGGUAAAAAAGAUUGUGAAGCCUCCCUCCAUAAAGAACUAGUAACUCUACAGGACAGAGAUUGGCUUGACAUCAAGUACUACAUCCAUAACAGAAUUAUAUUUAAAAAAGGAAAAAAAAAUGUUUUCCCACAUCUUCUGUGGUAGUUUGAGUAUGUUACCAGCAAUUAAAAAAGCAAAAUAAACAGCAAGUGUUUUGUAUUUAUUCCAGAUAAUUCUUAG